Molecule: ribosomal RNA, 135 nt
Filed under: Propithecus coquereli (Coquerel's sifaka)
Lineage: Eukaryota; Metazoa; Chordata; Mammalia; Primates; Indriidae
Source: RNAcentral
GGUCUGUGCCGUACUGCCCUGAAUGUGCCCUAUCUUGUCUGAUCUCAGAAGCUAAACAGGGUCAGGCCUGGUUAGUACUUGGACAGGGGAGGGUUGAGCCUAAAAUAUUACUAGAAAGAAUAUAGGAAAGGAUCU